RNAcentral lists this ribosomal RNA (402 nucleotides) under uncultured bacterium. RNAcentral describes it as "bacterial SSU rRNA". It matches the Rfam family "Bacterial small subunit ribosomal RNA", at positions 355 to 774 of the family's 1533-position model. The record is from RNAcentral.
UGGGGAAUAUUGGACAAUGGGGGCAACCCUGAUCCAGCAAUGCCGCGUGAGUGAAGAAGGCCUUAGGGUUGUAAAACUCUUUCACCCGUGACGAUGAUGACGGUAGCGGGAGAAGAAGCCCCGGCUAACUCCGUGCCAGCAGCCGCGGUAAUACGGAGGGGGCUAGCGUUGUUCGGAAUUACUGGGCGUAAAGCGCACGUAGGCGGCGUAUCAAGUCAGGGGUGAAAGGCCUGGGCUCAACCUAGGAACGGCCUUUGAGACUGAUAUGCUUGAGUUCGGAAGAGGGUAGUGGAAUUCCAAGUGUAGAGGUGAAAUUCGUAGAUAUUUGGAAGAACACCGGUGGCGAAGGCGGCUACCUGGUCCGAUACUGACGCUGAGGUGCGAAAGCGUGGGGAGCAAACA